GUGGGGAAUUUUGGACAAUGGGCGCAAGCCUGAUCCAGCCAUUCCGCGUGCAGGAUGAAGGCCUUCGGGUUGUAAACUGCUUUUGUACGGAACGAAAAGCCUCUGGUUAAUACCCGGGGGUCAUGACGGUACCGUAAGAAUAAGCACCGGCUAACUACGUGCCAGCAGCCGCGGUAAUACGUAGGGUGCGAGCGUUAAUCGGAAUUACUGGGCGUAAAGCGUGCGCAGGCGGUGAUGUAAGACAGUUGUGAAAUCCCCGGGCUCAACCUGGGAACUGCAUCUGUGACUGCAUUGCUGGAGUGCGGCAGAGGGGGAUGGAAUUCCGCGUGUAGCAGUGAAAUGCGUAGAUAUGCGGAGGAACACCGAUGGCGAAGGCAAUCCCCUGGGCCUGCACUGACGCUCAUGCACGAAAGCGUGGGGAGCAAACAGGAUUAGAUACCCGUGUAGUCC
This 450-nucleotide ribosomal RNA is filed under the name uncultured bacterium. RNAcentral's name for it is "bacterial SSU rRNA". It matches the Rfam family "Bacterial small subunit ribosomal RNA", at positions 354 to 796 of the family's 1533-position model. The record is from RNAcentral.